UAUACUCGUAGUAAAAUUUAUUAUAUUCGCCUUCCAUGUGAAAGUUCUAGAAAUAGUGAGUAU
This 63-nucleotide transfer RNA is filed under the name Perna perna. RNAcentral's name for it is "tRNA-Gly". The record is from RNAcentral. Lineage: Eukaryota; Metazoa; Mollusca; Bivalvia; Mytilida; Mytilidae.